This 1211-nucleotide long non-coding RNA is filed under the name Equus caballus (horse). RNAcentral describes it as "lncRNA (ENSECAG00000052233.1)". Lineage: Eukaryota; Metazoa; Chordata; Mammalia; Perissodactyla; Equidae. The record is from RNAcentral.
UAUAGACUUUGCUGAUUUAAGAUACUCCUGACGGCUGGCUCUGUGGCCAAGUGGUUAAGUUUGCGCACUCUGCUGCGGCGGCCCAGGGUUUGGAUCCUGGGCGCAGACAUAGCACCGCUCGUCAGGCCACGUUGAGGCGGUGUUCCACAUCCCACAACUAGAAGGACCUGCAACUAAGAUAUACAACUGUGUACAGGGGGCUUUGGGGAGAUAAAGCAGAAAAAAAUAAAUAAGUAAAAAUAAAUAAAUAAAAUACUCCUGAAAUAAGUAGUCAAAUUCCCCUUGCUAUGUUCGUUGUUAAAUUUACAUUUGGUUUUGACAAAUAAAAAUGGCAAGCAAUAGGAUAUAUUGGAGAAUAUGAGGAAGCCAUUUGGUAUAAACCUAAUUCGGCCUGACCUUGUCUUUCCAAAAGGGCCUGACCGUGGCUGUUGAGCAUGCAUUGUAUAUCUGCUUUAGAGAUUCCCUAUGGCAAGAGCAAAGGCCCUUGAGAUAAAGGCUAGAAACUGAUUGCUGCACUCACCUGUGACCGCCCAGCUCCAGACAAUAGACGCCUCCUGCUGCGCCCACCAAGAUGGCAGACCCACUACCUGCUGUGUCCAUCAAGCGCUGUGCCGACAGGGCAAUCUUGUGACUAUUGUGGGAGGGACAUUUCAAUCAUAUGUAAAGCACCCUCUUUGGGGGUAUAUAACCACUCUGUACACCUCAUUUCUUUGGUGCCCUUUCUUCCUUCAGGAAGAAAGGCCCCUGGCCAUGGUCCUCAGAUUUCGGCUCAGAAUAAACUCACCCAAAUUUUCAUUUACAGAUUGGUUAUGGAUUAUUUUCAUUGACAGUUUGCAUUAGCCUUUCUAUCUUCCCUGUGCCAAAUAAAAGCACAACACUGUACUGCUUAGUAUGUCAUUUGGGGAGUUAUUCAUCAGAUUCUGGUUACUCCUCCCAUCCUUGUUCCUCUGCUGCCACCCUCACCUACAGUCCUUGCCUCCAUCAUCUCUGGCCUGGACUGUUUCAAGAGCCUUCCAGCUGUUUGGCCACCCCUGGCACUCCAUCCUCUAUCAUCUUUCUCAGCCAGCAGCCGGCAUGAUCCUAUUGAAAGCCCCAAUACAUAGUUGUAUAGCCUAGUUGCAAGUCAUUCUAGUUCUACUAUGUGGGAUGCUGCCACAGCAUGGCCUGAUGAACAGUGCGUAGGUCCACACUCAGGAUCCAAACCAGUGAAC